AAGAGAUUAACUCAAUGGUAGAGUAGCUGUUUUACACACAGUAAGUUAAGGGUUCGAAUCUCUUAUCUCUUA
Molecule: transfer RNA, 72 nt
Filed under: Rosellinia necatrix
Lineage: Eukaryota; Fungi; Ascomycota; Sordariomycetes; Xylariales; Xylariaceae
Also listed under: 1 other name
Rfam family: tRNA
About the family: Transfer RNA (tRNA) molecules are approximately 80 nucleotides in length.
Source: Rfam by way of RNAcentral